Molecule: ribosomal RNA, 450 nt
Filed under: uncultured bacterium
Lineage: Bacteria
Description: SSU rRNA
Rfam family: Bacterial small subunit ribosomal RNA
Source: RNAcentral
AGAGCGAACGCUGGCGGCAGGCUUAACACAUGCAAGUCGAGCGGGCGUAGCAAUACGUCAGCGGCAGACGGGUGAGUAACGCGUGGGAACAUACCUUUUGGUUCGGAACAACCCAGGGAAACUUGGGCUAAUACCGGAUAAGCCCUUACGGGGAAAGAUUUAUCGCCGAAAGAUUGGCCCGCGUCUGAUUAGCUAGUUGGUGAGGUAACGGCUCACCAAGGCGACGAUCAGUAGCUGGUCUGAGAGGAUGAUCAGCCACAUUGGGACUGAGACACGGCCCAAACUCCUACGGGAGGCAGCAGUGGGGAAUAUUGGACAAUGGGCGCAAGCCUGAUCCAGCCAUGCCGCGUGAGUGAUGAAGGCCCUAGGGUUGUAAAGCUUCUUUUGUGCGGGAAGAUAAUGACGGUACCGCAAGAAUAACGCCCGGCUAACCUUCGCGCCAGCAGCCGC